Molecule: long non-coding RNA, 206 nt
Filed under: Musa acuminata (dwarf banana)
Lineage: Eukaryota; Viridiplantae; Streptophyta; Magnoliopsida; Zingiberales; Musaceae
Description: long non-coding RNA (MACU_LNC008206)
Source: RNAcentral
GAGUGAGUGCACCAAAUAGACCGUUCGUAUAGACAUUGACUCGGCUUGGAUCGAUAACAAAAACAUAGAAAGCCUUAGGAUAGGAAGGAACUGCUAUUGUGUUUUAAAAAGGACUCAACCUAGAUCAUUUUGGAUGUGCUUUCUAGGCUUUCUUCGGAUCCCUGAAUUGAUGCUUAUUAGAUCCAGAACCCUCCGUAAGAAGUUCC